UGUUUUUCAGUGGUAAGGACUCUAGAAGUAAUGAUUCUUGCAGACUAAUUGCCCCCAAAAUAAUUCUUUAGCCCACUGUUUGAUACAGUUUUACCUGUCAAGCUAAAGGGAGAUGUCAGCAAGUUAAACCUGUUUGCACGAGGCUUAUUUGAUGUGAAAAGCAGGCGGGAGCCUGGCAGGGGAGGAUUCUCCCAGCUGAGAAUUACAAAAGCACAUCCUGGUUUUUAGAGACAAGUUCAGAGGCAGGCCCGUAACAUCAGCCAGGCACGGGACCACGAUCAGCACAAAGCCUCGGCCCAGGCUCAGCGAGGACGUCUGCUGGCACCCUCAGCAUCACAGAGAAGGUUGCUUCAGGGUUCCGUUUUUAGGGCUGAGCUUUGCCUCCUCUCGUUAUGAUCGGACGCUGGGUGCUGAGGGUCUGCAGCUUCUGGUUGUGCCCACGGAGCCAAAGAACUUCCCCAUAAGCCACAACUGCAGCUGGAGCCUCGGGCACUCUGGUAACACAGGCAGGUUAUAAUUCACAAACAUCCCCAGAGGCUCCUGUGCCAUCGGGAAACAGGGAGGACGGGUGCAGCAAGCUCUGGCAGUGGCUCAGGAGUAGAAGACACGGACCGUAUGUGUGCGGGGGGCUGCUCCAGACCUGCUUGAAUGCAGUUACCUCCGUGGUGCUUCAUCAGCGGUUUCCACAUAAAGAGUAUUUUGGAAGAAGCAGAAAAAUGCUUUGUGCAAUGGAAAAUACCAAAAAGAACUUGGGAUGGUAGAAUGUAAAUAACUAACUGACCAAAUCGGCUUUCUCUUCUUGGAGAGGAUCCAUAACACAGAUGCUGGUGGCUAUAUUGUCUUUUGAAUGGCUCUGUCCUGUUCCUGCCUCAGCUGCCUGUACCUCCUGCUCUGCCGUCACACUGCUAGGCUCCCUGCGUUGCCACCCUUGAUUUGUCCAAAUAACGGUCUUUCGAAGAAUAAUGCCCCUUUACUCAAGGUUGAGAAAUGGCUGAAUCAGUGAAAGCAGCGCUUGGAAGUUUUCCUGGGAAGUUGCUGUCUCAAGUACUGGUCAGGACCUCAUCCAGCUCAGCCCCUGAGAAAUGCUGAUGCUGCAAACCCCGCUGGGUUUUCCUGGCUUCAGGUGUGAUUCACCACUUUAAUGAAACCUUUGGGUUAUCUUAUGGAGGGAGAGACGGCUCACCUUCGGGAGAGAACGAUAGAAUCACACUUAUCUGCGGGUUCCAGUAGAAAAGAAGAAGGGAGCAAUCAGUUCUCCUCUCACAGCCGGGCCCUGGGAGCUCAUUAGAUUGAACUAAUGUGAUGAAGAGCUAAAGUUCACCCAACAAAAUAAGUAUCUCAGGGGAAGAAUAACCUUCCUUGACAGGAGUUUCCAAAGAAAAGAUAAUUAAGACUUCGAGGAUCUUGCAUACACCGCUGCUGGGGACACGGGUGCUGUGGGGAUGCAAAUACGCCUUUGAACUUGCAUUUCUCCUUUUCCACCAUCUCUCCUCGUGCUGCCCACGGACCCAGAUCUGCAGGAGUAGGAAGCCCUUCGCUCCUGUUCCAGGAAUAGGAUUUCCACGGCUGCAAAGUUGUGUUUCCAAGGGGAAUCGUGGAGGCAGGUUUCCCCGACAGCCAUCGCUGGUAGAAAGACCACGGGCUUGCCCUGCGCUUGCAAGGACACGGGCUGCGUGACAAGCGCUGGGCUUGGUCCUUCUCAGCAUCCCGAGCCCUCCUCUGUGCCGGCAUUUGACUUCUGAUGAAGGUUUAAUGGCCUCAACCCCUGGCACAGGGAGCCGGAGGAAAAACUCCCAUUGUAAAACCCAGCCUGGGAGAUCACUGGAGGGGAAGGAGGGAGUGAGCGGCUGCGUGGUGCUCAGUUGCCCUCCGAGCUGAAACCACGGCACAUCUUCACUAUAUAGAGAUCUUGGAAAAUGUGAGUUAACCCAGUGAGGCCCUGUUAUGCUGUUCAAGUGAUGUAAGGAUGUGAACUACUUCUUAAUCUAAAAGUCUUUUAUCAGAGAGAUAUUCUUGUAAUUCUGGUGUUAGGUAGCAAUAUCGUGAAGAUAUUUCUGUAAAUAUGCUUGAAAUGUAUAGAAGGCAGCUCAGGGGAGUUGCUGAGGGCGUGCAAAGCUUUUCUGUGCGUCGGCAGUGAGGUUUAUAGUGGUAGAAGGGCUGGAGAGUUUUGUACGGGUUUGGAAUGGGGUGCUGGAGUCGGGUCAGUACAACCACAGUACAGGGGUACCUCAGGCACAGCCGCCUGGGCUGGGGGGGGCGCUGCAAACCCAUCGCCCUCGUGGGGGGGCACAGUGCUUCCAGGUCAUUUUGCCCUCUGAGGAACUCGGCACAGCAGAGGAACUCGCACCAGGAUCUGCUGCCGAAAGCGGCGCCCAAACUUAAGGGUGCACCAAAACGGCUCUCGACCACUUUGCAUCUUCAAAACGGCACUGAACCGAACCCAAAACGUCAGCCAAGGUGAGAAACCUCCGUCUGCUAUGUGACAAGGCAGGGUCUGGUGUGAUGGGGGCCGUUCCUUCGGCAGGAGCCUGGGAACAUUACUGUCAGCCUAAGCAGAGCGAAAGUAAAGAUGCAAAUGGGCCUUUCAGAUAACCUUCAAUUCCAUAAACUAGGAAUGGCAAAAAAUCAUCAGCAUCAUAUAUUAUUUUAUAUAAUAUAU
Molecule: long non-coding RNA, 2659 nt
Organism: Tyto alba (common barn owl)
Lineage: Eukaryota; Metazoa; Chordata; Aves; Strigiformes; Tytonidae
Exons: 7
Source: RefSeq, a predicted model, not a curated record